GGGUUCAGGGAUAGACGUUAUCUUUGGAGGAUUUGGAUGGUCGGGCCGCCAUUCG
Molecule: non-coding RNA, 55 nt
Filed under: unclassified sequences
Description: Li+-I sequence
Rfam family: nhaA-I RNA
About the family: Acidobacteria, Alphaproteobacteria, Betaproteobacteria and Gammaproteobacteria, Verrucomicrobia, cand. division NC10. Downstream gene
Source: Rfam by way of RNAcentral